This 497-nucleotide ribosomal RNA is filed under the name uncultured bacterium. RNAcentral's name for it is "partial 16S ribosomal RNA". It matches the Rfam family "Bacterial small subunit ribosomal RNA", at positions 28 to 507 of the family's 1533-position model. The record is from RNAcentral.
GAUGAACGCUGGCGGCGUGCCUAAUACAUGCAAGUCGAGCGAACGGACGAGAAGCUUGCUUCUCUGAUGUUAGCGGCGGACGGGUGAAUAACACGUGGAUAACCUACCUAUAAGACUGGGAUAACUUCGGGAAACCGGAGCUAAUACCGGAUAAUAUUUUGAACCGCAUGGUUCAAAAGUGAAAGACGGUCUUGCUGUCACUUAUAGAUGGAUCCGCGCUGCAUUAGCUAGUUGGUAAGGUAACGGCUUACCAAGGCAACGAUGCAUAGCCGACCUGAGAGGGUGAUCGGCCACACUGGAACUGAGACACGGUCCAGACUCCUACGGGAGGCAGCAGUAGGGAAUCUUCCGCAAAGGGCGAAAGCCUGACGGAGCAACGCCGCGUGAGUGAUGAAGGUCUUCGGAUCGUAAAACUCUGUUAUUAGGGAAGAACAUAUGUGUAAGUAACUGUGCACAUCUUGACGGUACCUAAUCAGAAAGCCACGGCUAACUGCGUG